GGCGGGAUAGCUCAGUCGGUCAGAGCGCACGACUCAUAAUCGUGAGGUCGCGGGUUCAAACCCCGCUCCCGCUA
RNAcentral lists this transfer RNA (74 nucleotides) under Actinomycetales bacterium. RNAcentral's name for it is "tRNA-Met". It matches the Rfam family "tRNA". Rfam says of the family: Transfer RNA (tRNA) molecules are approximately 80 nucleotides in length. Their secondary structure includes four short double-helical elements and three loops (D, anti-codon, and T loops). Lineage: Bacteria; Bacillati; Actinomycetota; Actinomycetes; Actinomycetales. The record is from RNAcentral.